AAACCAACAGGGAUUGCCUUAGUAGCGGCGAGUGAAGCGGCAAAAGCUCAAAUUUGAAAUCUGGCUCUUUCAGAGUCCGAGUUGUAAUUUGAAGAAGGUAUCUUUGGGUCUGGCUCUUGUCUAUGUUUCUUGGAACAGAACGUCACAGAGGGUGAGAAUCCCGUGCGAUGAGAUGAUCCAGGCCUAUGUAAAGUUCCUUCGAAGAGUCGAGUUGUUUGGGAAUGCAGCUCUAAGUGGGUGGUAAAUUCCAUCUAAAGCUAAAUAUUGGCGAGAGACCGAUAGCGAACAAGUACAGUGAUGGAAAGAUGAAAAGAACUUUGAAAAGAGAGUGAAAAAGUACGUGAAAUUGUUGAAAGGGAAGGGCUUGAGAUCAGACUUGGUAUUUUGUAUGUUACUUCUUCGGGGGUGGCCUCUACAGUUUAUCGGGCCAGCAUCAGUUUGGGCGGUAGGAGAAUUGCGUUGGAAUGUGGCACGGCUUCGGUUGUGUGUUAUAGCCUUCGUCGAUACUGCCAGCCUAGACUGAGGACUGCGGCUUAUACCUAGGAUGUUGGCAUAAUGAUCUUAAGUCGC
This 570-nucleotide ribosomal RNA is filed under the name Candida tropicalis. Its description in RNAcentral is "eukaryotic LSU rRNA". It matches the Rfam family "Eukaryotic large subunit ribosomal RNA", at positions 62 to 648 of the family's 3401-position model. Lineage: Eukaryota; Fungi; Ascomycota; Pichiomycetes; Serinales; Debaryomycetaceae. The record is from RNAcentral.